ACUCAAAGGAAUAGACGGGGACCCGCACAAGCGGUGGAGCAUGUGGUUUAAUUCGAUACAACGCGCAUAACCUUACCGAGGCUUGACAUGGAGUGCAAAACUGCGGAAACGCAGCGGAGGUUAUCACUACACAGAUGGUGCAUGGCCGUCGUCAGUUCGUGCCGUGAGGUGUAUGGUUAAGUCCUAUAACGAACGCAACCCUUGUCUUUAGUUACUACUUGUAAGAGAGGACUCUAGAGAGACUGCCAGUGUAAACUGGAGGAAGGAAAGGACGACGUCUGGUCAUCAUGCCUCUUACGCCUCGGGCUACACACGUGCUACAAUGGUUGCUACAAAGGGUUGCCAACUUGCAAAAGUGAGCUAAUCCCAAAAAAGCAACCUCAGUUCGGAUUGAAGUCUGCAACUCGACUUCAUGAAGCCGGAAUCGCUAGUAAUCGCGGAUCAGCAGUGCCGCGGUGAAUACGUUCUCGGGUCUUGUACACACCGCCCGU
This 491-nucleotide ribosomal RNA is filed under the name uncultured bacterium. Its description in RNAcentral is "partial 16S ribosomal RNA". It matches the Rfam family "Bacterial small subunit ribosomal RNA", at positions 899 to 1397 of the family's 1533-position model. The record is from RNAcentral.